This 1346-nucleotide ribosomal RNA is filed under the name uncultured bacterium. RNAcentral's name for it is "partial 16S ribosomal RNA". It matches the Rfam family "Bacterial small subunit ribosomal RNA", at positions 28 to 1381 of the family's 1533-position model. The record is from RNAcentral.
GACGAACGCUGGCGGCGUGCUUAACACAUGCAAGUCGAACGGAAAGGCCCUGCUUUUGUGGGGUGCUCGAGUGGCGAACGGGUGAGUAACACGUGAGUAACCUGCCCUUGACUUUGGGAUAACUUCAGGAAACUGGGGCUAAUACCGGAUAGGAGCUCCUGCUGCAUGGUGGGGGUUGGAAAGUUUCGGCGGUUGGGGAUGGACUCGCGGCUUAUCAGCUUGUUGGUGGGGUAGUGGCUUACCAAGGCUUUGACGGGUAGCCGGCCUGAGAGGGUGACCGGCCACAUUGGGACUGAGAUACGGCCCAGACUCCUACGGGAGGCAGCAGUGGGGAAUAUUGCACAAUGGGCGGAAGCCUGAUGCAGCAACGCCGCGUGCGGGAUGACGGCCUUCGGGUUGUAAACCGCUUUCGCCUGUGACGAAGCGUGAGUGACGGUAAUGGGUAAAGAAGCACCGGCUAACUACGUGCCAGCAGCCGCGGUGAUACGUAGGGUGCGAGCGUUGUCCGGAUUUAUUGGGCGUAAAGGGCUCGUAGGUGGUUGAUCGCGUCGGAAGUGUAAUCUUGGGGCUUAACCCUGAGCGCGCUUUCGAUACGGGUUGACUUGAGGAAGGUAGGGGAGAAUGGAAUUCCUGGUGGAGCGGUGGAAUGCGCAGAUAUCAGGAGGAACACCAGUGGCGAAGGCGGUUCUCUGGGCCUUUCCUGACGCUGAGGAGCGAAAGCGUGGGGAGCGAACAGGCUUAGAUACCCUGGUAGUCCACGCUGUAAACGGUGGGUACUAGGUGUGGGGUCCACUCCACGGGUUCCGUGCCGUAGCUAACGCUUUAAGUACCCCGCCUGGGGAGUACGGCCGCAAGGCUAAAACUCAAAGGAAUUGACGGGGCCCCGCACAAGCGGCGGAGCAUGCGGAUUAAUUCGAUGCAACGCGUAGAACCUUACCUGGGUUUGACAUGGAUCGGGAGUGCUCAGAGAUGGGUGUGCCUCUUUUGGGGUCGGUUCACAGGUGGUGCAUGCCUGUCGUCAGCUCGUGUCGUGAGAUGUUGGGUUAAGUCCCGCAACGAGCGCAACCCUUGUUCACUGUUGCCAGCACGUUAUGGUGGGGACUCAGUGGAGACCGCCGGGGUCAACUCGGAGGAAGGUGGGGAUGACGUCAAGUCAUCAUGCCCCUUAUGUCCAGGGCUUCACGCAUGCUACAAUGGCUGGUACAGAGAGUGGCGAGCCUGUGAGGGUGAGCGAAUCUCGGAAAGCCGGUCUCAGUUCGGAUUGGGGUCUGCAACUCGACCUCAUGAAGUCGGAGUCGCUAGUAAUCGCAGAUCAGCAACGCUGCGGUGAAUACGUUCCCGGGGCU